AUGCCUAAUACAUGCAAGUCGAACGAGCUUCCGUUGAAUGACGUGCUUGCACUGAUUUCAACAAUGAAGCGAGUGGCGAACUGGUGAGUAACACGUGGGGAAUCUGCCCAGAAGCAGGGGAUAACACUUGGAAACAGGUGCUAAUACCGUAUAACAACAAAAUCCGCAUGGAUUUUGUUUGAAAGGUGGCUUCGGCUAUCACUUCUGGAUGAUCCCGCGGCGUAUUAGUUAGUUGGUGAGGUAAAGGCCCACCAAGACGAUGAUACGUAGCCGACCUGAGAGGGUAAUCGGCCACAUUGGGACUGAGACACGGCCCAAACUCCUACGGGAGGCAGCAGUAGGGAAUCUUCCACAAUGGACGAAAGUCUGAUGGAGCAAUGCCGCGUGAGUGAAGAAGGGUUUCGGCUCGUAAAACUCUGUUGUUAAAGAAGAACACCUUUGAGAGUAACUGUUCAAGGGUUGACGGUAUUUAACCAGAAAGCCACGGCUAACUACGUGCCAGCAGCCGCGGUAAUACGUAGGUGGCAAGCGUUGUCCGGAUUUAUUGGGCGUAAAGCGAGCGCAGGCGGUUUUUUAAGUCUGAUGUGAAAGCCUUCGGCUUAACCGGAGAAGUGCAUCGGAAACUGGGAGACUUGAGUGCAGAAGAGGACAGUGGAACUCCAUGUGUAGCGGUGGAAUGCGUAGAUAUAUGGAAGAACACCAGUGGCGAAGGCGGCUGUCUAGUCUGUAACUGACGCUGAGGCUCGAAAGCAUGGGUAGCGAACAGGAUUAGAUAC
RNAcentral lists this ribosomal RNA (776 nucleotides) under Levilactobacillus brevis. RNAcentral describes it as "bacterial SSU rRNA". It matches the Rfam family "Bacterial small subunit ribosomal RNA", at positions 44 to 785 of the family's 1533-position model. Lineage: Bacteria; Bacillati; Bacillota; Bacilli; Lactobacillales; Lactobacillaceae. The record is from RNAcentral.